This 1174-nucleotide ribosomal RNA is filed under the name Lactiplantibacillus plantarum. Its description in RNAcentral is "bacterial SSU rRNA". It matches the Rfam family "Bacterial small subunit ribosomal RNA", at positions 33 to 1172 of the family's 1533-position model. The record is from RNAcentral. Lineage: Bacteria; Bacillati; Bacillota; Bacilli; Lactobacillales; Lactobacillaceae.
CCGCCCUUCGGGUGCCUUAUACAUGCAGUCGAACGAACUCUGGUAUUGAUUGGUGCUUGCAUCAUGAUUUACAUUUGAGUGAGUGGCGAACUGGUGAGUAACACGUGGGAAACCUGCCCAGAAGCGGGGGAUAACACCUGGAAACAGAUGCUAAUACCGCAUAACAACUUGGACCGCAUGGUCCGAGUUUGAAAGAUGGCUUCGGCUAUCACUUUUGGAUGGUCCCGCGGCGUAUUAGCUAGAUGGUGGGGUAACGGCUCACCAUGGCAAUGAUACGUAGCCGACCUGAGAGGGUAAUCGGCCACAUUGGGACUGAGACACGGCCCAAACUCCUACGGGAGGCAGCAGUAGGGAAUCUUCCACAAUGGACGAAAGUCUGAUGGAGCAACGCCGCGUGAGUGAAGAAGGGUUUCGGCUCGUAAAACUCUGUUGUUAAAGAAGAACAUAUCUGAGAGUAACUGUUCAGGUAUUGACGGUAUUUAACCAGAAAGCCACGGCUAACUACGUGCCAGCAGCCGCGGUAAUACGUAGGUGGCAAGCGUUGUCCGGAUUUAUUGGGCGUAAAGCGAGCGCAGGCGGUUUUUUAAGUCUGAUGUGAAAGCCUUCGGCUCAACCGAAGAAGUGCAUCGGAAACUGGGAAACUUGAGUGCAGAAGAGGACAGUGGAACUCCAUGUGUAGCGGUGAAAUGCGUAGAUAUAUGGAAGAACACCAGUGGCGAAGGCGGCUGUCUGGUCUGUAACUGACGCUGAGGCUCGAAAGUAUGGGUAGCAAACAGGAUUAGAUACCCUGGUAGUCCAUACCGUAAACGAUGAAUGCUAAGUGUUGGAGGGUUUCCGCCCUUCAGUGCUGCAGCUAACGCAUUAAGCAUUCCGCCUGGGGGAGUACGGCCGCAAGGCUGAAACUCAAAGGAAUUGACGGGGGCCCGCACAAGCGGUGGAGCAUGUGGUUUAAUUCGAAGCUACGCGAAGAACCUUACCAGGUCUUGACAUACUAUGCAAUCUAAGAGAUUAGACGUUCCCUUCGGGGACAUGGAUACAGGUGUGCAUGGUUGUCGUCAGCUCGUGUCGUGAGAUGUGGGUAGUCCCGCACGAGCGCACCCUUAUUUAUCAGUUGCCAGCAUUAAGUUGGGCACCUCUUGGUUGAGAACUGCCGGUGGAACAAACCGGGAGGUAG